This 217-nucleotide long non-coding RNA is filed under the name Olea europaea (common olive). RNAcentral describes it as "long non-coding RNA (OEUR_LNC002563)". Lineage: Eukaryota; Viridiplantae; Streptophyta; Magnoliopsida; Lamiales; Oleaceae. The record is from RNAcentral.
UGAAAUGAAGAUCUGGAUCCGAGGUUCCUCUCAGCGCAAAUGGGAUUAUUCCCAACCUUGAUAGUUAAAAUGAACAAGCUGAAGUUUCUUGCAGCUGACAUGAUCGCUCGAUCCAAACUCCUCUCGUCAAUUUCUCCAAACUGAAAUCUGGUGUUUCCUUUUUGGGUAUUCUAUUUUUAGACAGAAGGAAAUAAAAACGUAUUCACCUAAAAAGACC